GUAUCGGUGGUUCAGUGGUAGAAUUCUCGCCUGCCACGUGGGAGACCCGGGUCUUGUUCCCGGCCAAUGCA
This 71-nucleotide transfer RNA is filed under the name Danio rerio (zebrafish). It matches the Rfam family "tRNA". Rfam says of the family: Transfer RNA (tRNA) molecules are approximately 80 nucleotides in length. Their secondary structure includes four short double-helical elements and three loops (D, anti-codon, and T loops). Lineage: Eukaryota; Metazoa; Chordata; Actinopteri; Cypriniformes; Danionidae. The record is from Rfam by way of RNAcentral.